RNAcentral lists this microRNA precursor (72 nucleotides) under Nomascus leucogenys (northern white-cheeked gibbon). RNAcentral describes it as "mir-622 microRNA precursor family". It matches the Rfam family "mir-622 microRNA precursor family". The record is from Rfam by way of RNAcentral. Lineage: Eukaryota; Metazoa; Chordata; Mammalia; Primates; Hylobatidae.
CAAGUACUGGUCUCAGCAGAUUGAGGAGGGUACCACAGUAGUCACCACACAGUCCGCUGAGAUUGGAGCUGC